Molecule: ribosomal RNA, 497 nt
Filed under: uncultured bacterium
Lineage: Bacteria
Description: partial 16S ribosomal RNA
Rfam family: Bacterial small subunit ribosomal RNA
Source: RNAcentral
GAUGAACGCUGGCGGCGUGCCUAAUACAUGCAAGUCGAGCGAACAGAUGAGGAGCUUGCUCCUCUGACGUUAGCGGCGGACGGGUGAGUAACACGUGGAUAACCUACCUAUAAGACUGGGAUAACUUCGGGAAACCGGAGCUAAUACCGGAGAAUAUAUUGAACCGCAUGGUUCAAUAGUGAAAGACGGUUUUGCUGUCACUUAUAGAUGGAUCCGCGCCGCAUUAGCUAGUUGGUAAGGUAACGGCUUACCAAGGCAACGAUGCGUAGCCGACGUGAGAGGGUGAUCGGCCACACUGGAAGUGAGACACGGUCCAGACUCCUACGGGAGGCAGCAGUAGGCAAUCUUCCGCAAUGGGCGAAAGCCUGACGGAGCAACGCCGAGUGAGUGAUGAAGGUCUUCGGAUCGUAAAACUCUGUUAUUAGGGAAGAACAAAUGUGUAAGUAACUAUGCACGUCUUGACGGUACCUAAUCAGAAAGCCCCGGCUAACUACGUG